GCCCCAUUUGUCUAAUGGUUAUGACGUCAGACUUCUAUCUUCUGCAAGAGUCUUACUCUACCGGAGCGGCAUCUGGAGGUUGCGAGUUCGAGUCUCGCAUGGGGUU
This 106-nucleotide transfer RNA is filed under the name Armillaria solidipes. It matches the Rfam family "tRNA". From Rfam's summary of the family: Transfer RNA (tRNA) molecules are approximately 80 nucleotides in length. The record is from Rfam by way of RNAcentral. Lineage: Eukaryota; Fungi; Basidiomycota; Agaricomycetes; Agaricales; Physalacriaceae.